ACGUUGUAACUUGUGUAAAUUAUGAUGUAAGAUAUAAUUACACUUGUUACGACCGGA
This 57-nucleotide microRNA precursor is filed under the name Blattella germanica (German cockroach). RNAcentral's name for it is "Bge-Novel-10-P2_pre stem-loop". Lineage: Eukaryota; Metazoa; Arthropoda; Insecta; Blattodea; Blattellidae. The record is from RNAcentral.